RNAcentral lists this long non-coding RNA (1143 nucleotides) under Homo sapiens (human). Its description in RNAcentral is "HSALNT0309544". The record is from RNAcentral. Lineage: Eukaryota; Metazoa; Chordata; Mammalia; Primates; Hominidae.
UCUUGCCCUCCUGGGACCAGAGAGGCCAGUUGGGGCAUGUUCUUUUCAUAGUGAAGGCAGACCACAGGCUGGCAAAUGGAAAUGCAUGAUGCUUCCUAAGGCCUAGGCUCAGACCUGGCAACUGUCAAUUCCACUUUCCUCAUCUUAUAAAAUUCUGGUUCUCAAUGACACCAGCAUCAUUACUGAUUUGCUUUCUACUCACACACAAAUAGCCUCCAAAUAAGAAUGCCAACACUAUCACCAAAAAGGAAAAAUUAUCUUCGUUUCCCCAAGGCCUGCAGCUUUCAUAAGAAGGCAGGAGUUUUUGGAGGAGAGCGUCGUGUUCGUCUGUCUGUAGACCCUGAGACACUGAUUUACAGCAAGACUCACGGUGACAAGAAUAUAAACAUCUCUUCAAUUCAUUUGAUGAGGAAGAAAAGCUUUGAUAAAGAAACUUGACAAGAACUUUACAAGGAAGAAAAAUUACCAACAAUUUCUCCUAUCAAUGUAGAUGAAAAAUUCUAAACAAAAUGUGAGCAAAUUGAAUUCCAUUUUAUGUAAAUAGGAUAAUACAUUAUGAUGAAAUCAAGUUUAUUUAACAAUGCAAGACUGGUUUGCUAUUCAAAAAUCAAUGAAAUAUGAAUACAUAUGUAGAGCAACUAAAUGUUAAGAAACUCCGGUUUCCAGUCCAACAUGUGAAGAGCUUGGAAAUCUUCAUAUUAAAAAAAAAACUGAACAAAUUGAAAAUCAGCAAUUCUUACAUCCGUCAGAGAAUUGAGGUCCCAGGGCAAUCUGCUGCCUUGAAAAUGAAAGAAACAGACAGACAGAUACAGAGAAUUUCAGCUUAAAAGGAGCAGACGGCCUCAGCUGGACGAGUUCGAGUUUAAAACUCCAGGAGGGGCCAGUCUUGGAGACGCCACACAGCUGGGAGUUUCACCUCCAGAAGCCCUACUGUUACUCAAAAGGGGUCCCAAGCCAAACCCCAAGAGAGGGUUCUUAGAUCUUGCACAAGAAAGAAUUCAAGGCAAGUCCAUAGAGUAAAGUGAAAACAAGUUUGUUAGAAAAGUAAAGAAACAAAAGAAUGGCUACUCCAUAGGCAGAGCAGACCCAAAGGCUGCUGGUUGCCCAUUUUUAUGGUUAUUUAUUAAUUAUAUGCUAAACAGG